UCUAUACAUGACAUAACCCACCAGAUUCCUCCUAGACGAUGCUAUUGGGUGCAGAUAAACCCAAGGCAUGUGUCUGCCAUUAAAACCCCUACCAUUGCAUGAAUGAACAAUGAUAAUCACUUUUGUUUUCUCCUUCCUUAGACAUAUUUUUCCACAUUUUCCUUCCCAUGCAUGAAUGAUAACCCACCAUUAACUAACCUUUUAACAUUAGACCAGAC
This 218-nucleotide long non-coding RNA is filed under the name Vigna radiata. RNAcentral describes it as "long non-coding RNA (VRAD_LNC016862)". The record is from RNAcentral. Lineage: Eukaryota; Viridiplantae; Streptophyta; Magnoliopsida; Fabales; Fabaceae.